AUGCUCUAUUGAGUAAAGAUUUAUCGCCUUAUGAUGAGCCUGCGUUAGAUUAGUUAGUUGGUAGGGUAACGGCCUACCAAGGCGACGAUCUAUAGCCGGGUUGAGAGACUGGCCGGCCACAUUGGGACUGAGACACGGCCCAGACUCCUACGGGAGGCAGCAGCGAAGAAUCUUCCGCAAUGGACGCAAGUCUGACGGAGCGACGCCGCGUGAACGAUGAAGGCCUUACAGGUUGUAAAGUUCUUUUAUAGAAGACGAAUGUUAUGCGUAGGCAUAACUGACGGUAUUCUAUGAAUAAGGUCCGGCUAACUACGUGCCAGCAGCCGCGGUAAUACGUAGGGACCGAGCGUUGUUCGGACUUAUUGGGCGUAAAGGGUACGUAGGCGGUCUAAUAAGUCAGAUGUGAAACCCUCGGGCUCAUCCUGAGGCCUGCGUCUGAUACUGUUAGGCUAGAGUUACGGAGAGGAAGUCGGAAUUCCUGGUGUAGGGGUGAAAUCUAUAGAUAUCAGGAAGAACAUCGGUUGCGAAGGCGGACUUCUGGACGUUAACUGACGCUGAGGUACGAAAGUUAGGGUAGCAAACAGGAUUAGAGACCCUGGUAGUCCUAACUGUAAACGUUGUAUACUAGGUGGUGGCGUUUUUGAUCGCGUCACUGCCGGAGCUAACGCAUUAAGUAUACCGCCUGGGGAGUAUGCCGGCAACGGUGAAACUCAAAGGAAUUGACGGGGGCCCGCACAAGCAGUGGAGCAUGUUGUUUAAUUCGAUGAUACGCGAGGAACCUUACCAGGUCUUGACAUAUACCUGAAUGUUGUAGAGAUACAUCAGUCUUUCGGGACAGGUAUACAGGUGCUGCAUGGUUGUCGUCAGCUCGUGCCGUGAGGUGUUGGGUUAAGUCCCGCAACGAGCGCAACCCUUAUUCUUUGUUGCUAACGUGUUAUGGCGAGCACUCUAAGGAGACUGCCGGUGACAACCCGGAGGAAGCUGGGGAUGACGUCAAAUCAUCACGGCCCUUAUGACCUGGGCUACAAACGUGCUACAAUGGGCGGCACAAAGAGUUGCGAUACCGCGA
Molecule: ribosomal RNA, 1069 nt
Filed under: uncultured organism
Description: bacterial SSU rRNA
Rfam family: Bacterial small subunit ribosomal RNA
Source: RNAcentral